Molecule: ribosomal RNA, 253 nt
Filed under: uncultured bacterium
Lineage: Bacteria
Description: partial 16S ribosomal RNA
Rfam family: Bacterial small subunit ribosomal RNA
Source: RNAcentral
UACGUAGGGUGCAAGCGUUAAUCGGAAUUACUGGGCGUAAAGCGUGCGCAGGCGGUUUUGUAAGCCAGAUGUGAAAUCCCCGGGCUUAACCUGGGAAUGGCAUUUGGGACUGCAAGGCUGGAGUUUGGCAGAGGAGACUGGAAUUCCCGGUGUAGCAGUGAAAUGCGUAGAUAUCGGGAGGAAUACCGAUGGCGAAGGCAGGUCUCUGGGCUAUAACUGACGCUCAUGCACGAAAGCGUGGGGAGCAAACAGG